CUACGGGAGGCAGCAGUGGGGAAUCUUAGACAAUGGGCGCAAGCCUGAUCUAGCCAUGCCGCGUGAGUGACGAAGGCCUUAGGGUCGUAAAGCUCUUUCGCUGGGGAAGAUAAUGACGGUACCCAGUAAAGAAACCCCGGCUAACUCCGUGCCAGCAGCCGCGGUAAUACGGAGGGGGUUAGCGUUGUUCGGAAUUACUGGGCGUAAAGCGCGCGUAGGCGGAUCAGAAAGUUGGGGGUGAAAUCCCGGGGCUCAACCCCGGAACUGCCUUCAAAACUCCUGGUCUUGAGUUCGAGAGAGGUGAGUGGAAUUCCGAGUGUAGAGGUGAAAUUCGUAGAUAUUCGGAGGAACACCAGUGGCGAAGGCGGCUCACUGGCUUGAUACUGACGCUGAGGUGCGAAAGCGUGGGGAGCAAACAGGAUUAGAUACCCGUGUAGUC
RNAcentral lists this ribosomal RNA (439 nucleotides) under uncultured bacterium. Its description in RNAcentral is "partial 16S ribosomal RNA". It matches the Rfam family "Bacterial small subunit ribosomal RNA", at positions 339 to 795 of the family's 1533-position model. The record is from RNAcentral.